This 117-nucleotide ribosomal RNA is filed under the name Terriglobia bacterium. RNAcentral describes it as "partial 23S ribosomal RNA". It matches the Rfam family "Bacterial large subunit ribosomal RNA", at positions 1 to 116 of the family's 2925-position model. Lineage: Bacteria; Pseudomonadati; Acidobacteriota; Terriglobia. The record is from RNAcentral.
GGUCAAGCUACUAAGGGCAUGCGUGUGGAUGCCUUGGCGCAAGUAGGCGAAGAAGGACGUGGCUAGCUGCGAAAAGCCUCGGGGAGAUGCAAGCAAUCUAUUAUCCGGGGAUAUCCG